Zea mays is the source of this 723-nucleotide long non-coding RNA. RefSeq lists it as uncharacterized. Lineage: Eukaryota; Viridiplantae; Streptophyta; Magnoliopsida; Poales; Poaceae. The record is from RefSeq and is a predicted model, not a curated record. The transcript is spliced from 2 exons.
UGCCGCAACACUCAUUGAUCAACCUUUAUGGGUUAUGAAUGCUGUGCCAAUUGGUCAACCAGAUACCUUGCCACUUAUUUUCAACAGAGGUUUGAUUGGAGCUCUCAUGACUGGUGCAGAUCUUUCAGCACCUACCCUCGUACCUAUGAUCUUCUCCACAUGAGUAAUCUCAUUGGAAAUCUUACAAACAGGUGUGACCUCAUCGACGUGGUGGUUGAAAUCGACAGAAUACUGAGACCUGGAAGAUGGUUUGUGUUGAAAGACACGUUAGAGAUGAUAAAGAAGAUACGCCCAAUCCUGAAGUCCAGACACUAUGAAACUGUCAUCGUGAAACAUCAAUUUCUUGUGGCUACAAAGAGUUUCUGGCGUCCUGGCAAACCAGCUUCCACAUCAGGGUGACAUAUAGAUCGUACUUUCAGGGGAGUCUUCAACAACCAACGAUUCUAUUGAUUCUUUGAGACCUGAUCAAACUAACUCUUGGGCCACAGGUUUGUGAUUUCAAUGGUGAUGCUUUUCAAAGGGAAGAACGGGAACGAUGGCUGCCAUUGGUGCCACUACCUGAACUGUGUGCCAACAUCCAAGUGGAAGUGUAACACCUAGACACUUCAGUUUUCUGUUACACUCGGGGGCAAAAAUGUAGUAUCCAGAUUUACAAGACCAUUCUCUAUGUUUGUUUGUCUGUAGAUAUGAACAAGUUCUUUUCGUUUACUGGUUUUGAGUUUC